Long non-coding RNA from Mytilus californianus (California mussel), 1328 nucleotides. RefSeq lists it as uncharacterized. The record is from RefSeq and is a predicted model, not a curated record. The transcript is spliced from 3 exons. Lineage: Eukaryota; Metazoa; Mollusca; Bivalvia; Mytilida; Mytilidae.
AAUUUUAAUAAAAUGCUCCGCAGGGCGCAGCUUGAUACGACCGCAGAGGUCGAACCCUGAACAGUUGGGGCAAGUAUGGACACAACAUUCAAGCUUGAUACAGCUCUGAAUUUGGAUUGUGAUUAAAUAUUUGACACAGCAUAGGUUUCUGACACAGAAUGAAUGUGGUCUAAGAACUUAAAAAUUUUAAAUUGGACAUUCACCUAUUAUGGUCCAAUAUCCAAAAUCUAAAUACAUGGUUAGAUUCAGCAUAUCAAAGAACCCCAAGAAUUCAAUUUUUGAUGAAAUCAAACAAAGUUUAAUUUUGGACCCUUUUGACCUCAAUGUGGACAAAGUUGAUAACGGGGCCCAAAAAUCAAAAAUCUAAAUACAUGCUUAGAUUCAGCAUAACAAAGAACCCCAUAUAUAUUUAAUUUUUGUUGAAAUCAAACAAAGUUUAAUUUUGGACCCCGAUUUGGACCAACUUGAAAACUGGGCCCAUAAUCAAAAGUCUAAAUACAUGUUUAGAUUCAGCAUAUCAAAGAACCCUAAGAAUACAAUUUUUGUUAAAAUCAAACUAAGUUUAAUUUUGGACCCUUUGGACCUUAAUGCAGACCAAUUUGAAAACAGAACCAAUAAAAUGUUUCGCUGGGCACAGCUUGAUACGACCACAGAGGUCGAACCCUGAACAGUUGGGGCAAGUAUGGACACAACAUUCAAGCUUGAUACAGCUCUGAAUUUGGAUUGUGAUUAAAUAUUUGACACAGCAUAGGUUUCUGACACAGAAUGAAUGUGGUCUAAGAACUUAAAAAUUUUAAAUUGGACAUUCACCUAUUAUGGUCCAAUAUCCAAAAUCUAAAUACAUGGUUAGAUUCAGCAUAUCAAAGAACCCCAAGAAUUCAAUUUUUGAUGAAAUCAAACAAAGUUUAAUUUUGGACCCUUUUGACCUCAAUGUGGACAAAGUUGAUAACGGGGCCCAAAAAUCAAAAAUCUAAAUACAUGGUUAGAUUCAGCAUAUCAAAGAACCCCAUAUAUUCAAUUUUUGUUGAAAUCAAACAAAGUUUAAUUUUGGACCCCGAUUUGGACCAACUUGAAAACUGGGCCCAUAAUCAAAAAUCUAAAUACAUGUUUAGAUUCAGCAUAUCAAAGAACCCUAAGAAUUCAAUUUUUGUUCAAAUCAAACUAAGUUUAAUUUUGGACCCUUUGGACCUUUAUGUAGACCAAUUUGAAAAUGGAACGAAAAAUUAAGAAUCCAAAUACAUGGUUAGAUUCGGCAUAUCAAAGAACCCCAAUAAUUCAAUUUUUGAUGAAAUCAAACAAAGUUUAAUUUUGGACCCUUUGGACCUCAA